CCGGGGCUUCUUCUACGGUUACCGUCAUUAUCUUCACCGUUGAAAGAGCUUUACAACCCUAGGGCCGUCAUCACUCACGCGGCAUGGCUGGAUCAGGCUUGCGCCCAUUGUCCAAUAUUCCCCA
Molecule: ribosomal RNA, 124 nt
Filed under: uncultured bacterium
Lineage: Bacteria
Description: partial 16S ribosomal RNA
Source: RNAcentral